Molecule: ribosomal RNA, 604 nt
Filed under: uncultured bacterium
Lineage: Bacteria
Description: bacterial SSU rRNA
Rfam family: Bacterial small subunit ribosomal RNA
Source: RNAcentral
GCAAGAUUAAAACUCAAAGGAAUAGACGGGGACCCGCACAAGUGGUGGAGCAUGUGGUUUAAUUCGAAGAUACGCGAAGAACCUUACCUAGCCUUGACAUAUUUUAGAACUCAGCAGAGAUGCAGAGGUGCCUUCGGGAGCUAAUUUACAGGUGCUGCACGGCUGUCGUCAGCUCGUGUCGUGAGAUGUUGGGUUAAGUCCCGCAACGAGCGCAACCCUCGUCACUAGUUACUAACGGUUCGGCCGAGGACUCUAGUGAGACUGCCUUCGUAAGGAGGAGGAAGGUGAGGACGACGUCAAGUCAUCAUGGCCCUUACGGCUAGGGCAACACACGUGCUACAAUGGCCAGGACAGUGAGACGCAAUACCGCGAGGUGGAGCAAAUCUAUAAACCUGGUCUCAGUUCGGAUUGUUCUCUGCAACUCGAGAACGUGAAGCUGGAAUCACUAGUAAUCGUAGAUCAGCUAUGCUACGGUGAAUACGUUCCCGGGUCUUGUACUCACCGCCCGUCACACCAUGGGAGUUGAUUUCACCCGAAGCGGGGAAGCUAAACUGGCUACCCUCCACGGUGGAAUUAGCGACUGGGGUGAAGUCGUAACAAGGUA